AUGGUUGAACAGAGUAAACUCACAGUGGGGACACAGCUACCUCGGUCCCAAACAGGCAACUCCAUCACCAGGUCCACAAGAGCUGAGGUUGAGGGAGUUCCCGUCGUGGCACAGUGGUUAACCAAUCCGACUAGGAACCAUGAGGUUGCGGGUUCGAUCCCUGGCCUUGCUCAGUGGGUUAAGGAUCCGGUGUUGCCGUGAGCUGUGGUGUUGGUUGUAGAUGAGGCUCGGAACUGGUGUUACUGUGGCUCUGGCAUAGGCCAGUGGCUACAGCUCCGAUUAGACCCCUAGCCUGGGAACCUCCAUCUGCCUCGGGUGUGGCCCUAGAAAAGACGGAAAAAAAAAAAAGCUGAGGUUGAGGCCAGGAACUUUUGCAGCUUAGAGCGCAAGCAGAAAGCAUGGGCUUUCUUUCCACCUCCUCUCCAACCUUAGGCCAAGUCCCCAAAUCUGCAGCUGGGAAGCUGAGGCCCAGGUGGGGAAACUGAGGCAAGAGAGCAGGGACUUGCCCAAGGUCAAGCAAUGAAUCAAUGACAGAUACAAACUUGAACCCCCACUCCAGACUCUCAGGCCAGUGUUCUCUGCCCUUUCAGGGUCGCCUCCUUUCCCAAAUUUGUUUCUGGUAAGCCCAGGAGGACUGCAGGCUUUCUAUUCAUUCACUCAAUAAACAUUUACCCAGGAGUUCCCGUCAUGGCUCUGUGGAAACAAAUCCAACUAGGAACCACGAGGUUGCAGGUUCGAUCCCUGGCCUUGCUCGGUGGGUUAAGGAUCUGGCAUUGCUGUGAGCUGUGGUGUAGGCUGCAGAUGCUGCUCAGAUCUGAUAUUGCCAUGGCUUUGGCGGAGGCCAGCAGCUGUAGCUCCAAUUCAACCCCUAGCCUGGGAACCUCCAUAUGCCACAGGUGCAGCCCUAAAACACAAAAACAAAAACAAAAAAGACAACAUUUACCAGACACCAGCCUAGUGGCAAACUCUGGGGCUACUGUGGAGAACAGAACAUACCCUGUCUACACCUUCAGGAUUUCAGUCUAGAGCACGCCGAGCGGGUCAUGCAGGGACUUGUGGGCCACAGCGGGGACUUCGGAAGACCAGUGGAGACUCUCAGAAGUGUUAGCUGGCAGGGCUGUCCACCUGACCCUGCACGCUUGUCACACUCAUCCUGUGUUAGUGGCCUUUCUCCAGCCCAAUGGGGAGGGGAUAGUGGCUGUCCCUGGGGCUUGGAAGCCAGCAUUAGCCACCCCUCUUCAGCAAGCCCCUGCUGAUGUCAGGCCUGGAGUUCCCCUAGGACUGUGGCUCUGGCUGGUAGGGGGAGGCUAGUGGGCAGUUGAUCUGUAUUCAAUUAUAGCUUUGAGUCCUGAGGAACGCCCCUGCCUGCAGGGCAGCUGGGAGGACAACUGCGACCCAGCUGAAGCAGCAGGAGCUCCUUUGGGGAACUCUGCAGGGUAAAAGGCUCAAUGACCCCAUAAUCGGAGUCAUGAAGAUAAAUCACACCUUGUGCUGCCUGCCCAUUUCUUUCUCUGUCCAGCAGCCAACAUCAGGCAGCUAGAAAUUCCUCUUUAGACAGCAAGAGCAAAGCAUGCUAAAUAUGAUGAAAACAGGUGAAAUCUUUCAAUUAUCGGUUUCUGGAAUCUCAGUAUUGAAAAGAACCUUAGUCUUCCAGCCUCUCAGGACUCCUCUCAGUGGUGAGUAUUCUGAAAGGAGUAUCUAAACCACUUGCAUGCCUCUGGCAGACAGGCAGCUCACUACCUCUUGAGAGAAUCAGUCCACAUGUUAACAUUUCAAGUCUUUUAAGUUUGUCCUUCUAUUGGGUUGAAACCUUCUUUUAUGUCGUUUCCAUGUCUUGGUUCAAGUUCACUUUUGCCACACACAACGGACCCUCCUAAGCAGGCUGGUCUUGGACAAAUCAUUUUGCUCUGACCCCCAUUCUCCCUUUCUAUUGUGACGCCUAUUACAGUGUUUAAGUUGUUCAGUAGGAGGCUGGCUAUUCUGCCUGCAGCCAGGCUGAGAUCUGACCUGGCCUCCAGCCACCAGUGCCCUGCCUGGAGCCUGCACAGAGCGGGUGCCAGCAGCUGAAAGAAAGCAGAACAGAACAGGGCUUCUCCCGCCCCUAAUCAGCCCCCAAGGGAGCACCCUGUGUGGAUGACGGUGGCUAGAUGCCAAAUGAAGUGAAAUAUCUCCUUUUCUCAGGCUGUUAACUUUUUUUCUUGUUUAAGGAAGGGGAGGAUAAUGACAUUUAGCACUUUACAACUCAGCAGUGAAAUGAGCAGAUGGAAACAGAUUCCCAGCAUCGUGGGCAUGCUUCCAGCGAGACGCCCUCCCCAGCUCUGGCUCCAGCUCUGUGGGGUCCAAGUUACUGGCAAGCCUUGCUGAUGGGGUUGGGGACACCACCCACUCCCUCCUGCCCCAGCUCCUCCCACAGCAGUGCCUCCAGCCCCCACCUCCCGCUUCUUGCCUCUGCUCACCCUAUUCCACCUCUCUGGAGCGCCUUUCCCACCUGCCGGGUCUUUUUGGAAUAUGACCCCUCUAGUUUGGAGGAGCAGAGGUAAGGGGGGCCCUUGGAGAGACAGGGGUGAGCAAAAAAUGCCUGUGGAGCUGUGGAAAAACUCCAGCUGGCCUCUAGGUGGCCACAGAAGAAUGAUUUGCACAGGGAAGUUUCCCUCAGGGAGGAGAAAAAAAAAAUCAUCAUUAUUCUCAUCAAAACUAUGUACUGAGAACUCACCGUGGGCCCAUCCCUGGGACCUGUGCUUCCUAUGCCUCAUUCCAUUUAACCUUCGGAAGCCAGGGAGCAAUGAUUCCGCACUGUUCCCAUUUUACAGAUGAAGAAACUGAGGCUCAGGGAGGUUCAAUAACUUCUCCAAGGCCCCUCCCCAUUGAAUGGCAGGCAGGCGAAAGGGGACAAAUAAAUGGCUUUUUAACUAUUUGGGGUUUAGAUUACUUUCUUUGCUGUCACAUGUUGCUCCGUAUACUGCACACUUCAAAAACAUCCAAAUGCACUUUUCAUGUUUAUGUUUCCAAACCAGUCCAUAGCUCUGUGCUGGGGUUUGUUCUCUUUGGCAUGGAAACGGUUUCAUUCAACUGUAGCUCCCCUGCGCGUUUUAUUUGUCAUCCACAAAGUAAAAGACACAAACAGAAGAGCCCCGGCUGCGGGGGGCGAGCCCUUGCUUCCACCUGCCCAGUCCCCUGGCUGCUGGGACUCGCACCUCUUCUUCCUGGGCUGCUAACCACGCCGUCCCCAUUGCAGGUGGUGGCAGAGGGCUGCCCAUCAUAACGCCUUGCCCCCUGACUGCAGAUGCUGACCUAUGACCCAGGUUGGACCAUGCAGUGUCCUUCCCAGAGAGUUUUCCCACUGGGUGCAAGCGAAGGAAGACGUUCUUUGUUUGUCCGCUGGAACAGCUCUUGGGGACUGUCCCUGUUGGGAUUAAGCUUAGCUGUGGGCAUCAAAGACCUGAAAACAGUAUCUUAAACAAGAACAAGAAGGUGUGUGUUUAUCUUGCAAAGCCAGCUCAAGUAUCACCUCAGGGCCUGCCAUGUCCCCUCUUCCUGCCCCUGGAUACAGGCUAAGAUCAUCCUGCUGCAAGCACCUCCACUGUCACCUGGCUGGAAGCGCUGCUGCUGCCUCUGUGCGUAUCCUUCUACCGAUGGAGAAUGGAAACUGGAGGAUAAAUGCCUGAGCCUCAUAAGCAGGGGUGGGGUGAGGGGAGAGGUCCCACUGGGAUUGAGCCCCCCCCCCCCGUUACCCUUAGCAGUAACCUGCUGGUUCAUUAUCAGACCUUAUAUUCCUUUCCUGCCCUUCCCUCUCUCACUUCCCUACUCUCCUAGCAGGGUUUCCUGAGGUCACCUCUCCAAGAAACUGUGUGCCUUUAGAUCCUUGACUCAGGGCCUGCUUCUUGGGGAGCCCAGCUUUUGACACCCUUGAAGUCUUCCCUCAUCCCAGGAGGAGAACUCUGCUGCAUCCCAGUGCUCCCGGGGUAACUUGUUUGUGCCUCUAAUACAGUACACCGUGGCCUAUCUUGUUGUAUUUAUUAAGCGUAAACCAGGAAGGAAGGAAUAAGCACUUAUUGAGUACCAGCUGUGCACCAGGCACUGUACCAGAUGUCUUGUCCUCAGUCAUUCAAUUAUUCACUAAUUAAUUCAUUCAACAAAUCUUUAUUGAGCAUUUAUAACGCACGAGACAAUGAUCUAGGCCAGGGGCUGGCAAGCUAUGGUCCAUGGGCUGAAUUAGGCCCCCCACCUGUUUUUGCAAAUAAAGUUUUAUUGAAACACAACUGUGCUCAUUUGCUUACAUUUUUUUCAUGGCAGCUUUCAUGUUAAUAACCGCAGAGUUGAGCAGUUUCGACAGAGACCAUAUGGCCUGCAAAGCAUAAAAUAUUUACUGUCUGGCCCUUUGCAGAAAAAGUUCGGUGCCCCUUGGAAUAGGCACUAGGGCUGCUACAGUGAACAAAACAAAAAUCCCCGCCCUCCUGGAUGGAGCUUACAUGCUCCUGGGGUGGAGUCAGGGGAUGGGGGGGACACGUAACACAGUAAACCUCAAACUAGAUUCUUAGUAUAUAUUAAAUGAUGAUAGAUGCUAUGGAGAAAAAAAAAUAGAGCAAGAGAGUAUCAGGAGUGCUGGGGAUAGGAGUGGGGAUUGUGGUGAAAAUUAGAGUGUCGGGAAGUCUUGGCUGUGAACAUGACGGUUGAGCAAAGACCUGAAGGAGGUGAAGGAGUGAGCCACGUGGACCUGGAAGAGCCAUCAGGUAGUGGAGCAGCAGGUGCGAGGGCUGUACUGGAAUAUUAACGAUAGUUUAUGCUACAUUGAGUGCUAUGUACCAGGUGCCCUUCAAGUGCUCUACAUGCAUAAUCUCAUUUAAUUACUUAAAAAUCAUCAUCUUGUUACAUCUCUAAUCUUACAAAAGAAUGAUUUGAAUAUAUUUCUUUCUCUUUUUUUUUCUUUUUUGUCUUUUUAGGGCCGCACCCAUGGCAUAUGAAGGUUCCCAGGCCAGGGGUCCAAUCCCAGCUGUAGCCGCCAGCCUACACCACAGCCAGAGCAACUCAGGAACCGAGCCCCAUCUUCGGCCCACAGCUCAUGGCAAUGCCGAAUCCUUAACCCACUGAUGGAGGCCAGGGAUCGAACCUGUGUCUUCAUGGAUGCUAGUCGGAUUUGUUAACUGCUGAGCCACGACAGGAACUCCUAUUUCUUUUUUUUUCAGGUUUUUUUUUUUUUUUUUUGGCUUUUUAGGGCUAUACUUAUGGCAUAUGGAAUUUCCCAGGCUAGGGUUCCAAUCAGAGCUACAGCUUUUGGCCACAGUCACAGCCACAGCCACAGCAACUUGGGAUCUGAGCUAUGCCUGCAACUUACACCGCAGCUCAUGGCAAUGCCAGAUACUUAACCCUCUGAGCAGGGCUGGGGGUUGACCCCACAUCCUCACGGAUAAUAGGUCAGGUUCUUAACGCCCUGAGCCUCAACAAGAACUCCAGGAGACUUGUGAGGUUUUAAUCAUAAAUGAACUCUAUAAUUCAAGGCACUCAAUAAAUGGCUGAUCAAUGAAUUGAUUGAAAGGUCACCCAGGAAGUUACUGGCAGUGAGAGGACUAUAUUCUGGUCUCCACCACCCUGGACUUUCUCAGUGAGGAGCAAAUCUACUGUGACCAUGGCUGGCUUGAGGGGACCCUGCAGCUCCCGUCUGCAGAGCCUCCUGCGAACUCUCGGCAAAAGGCAGCAGUUCUCGGCUUACCUCCCAAGGGGGUCGUGAGCACUAAUUAGUUACCAUUGGUAAAGUGCUCUGAAGAUGUGGGGGUGUAUAAACAUGGCAAGUCAUUAGGCCUCUCCACACCACUAUGCUCUAGAGCCAGGAACUACUAAUUGAGAAAUAAUUAACACCUCAGGGUGCAGAGGAAGGAUGCCUGGCUCUUCCAGGAUUGGAAGGGAUGUAAGAAAGUGCAUAAAGAGCCAGGAGAAGUCUAAGGCUGCGUUGGAUCCUGAAGAUUUUUCUCCUUUUGUCUCUAGAGAGGAGGCAUGGGGACCUUGGGGACUGCCUUCUUUGGGGAAAGCCCAGAGCACAGAGCUGGGCUGCAGUGGCUGAAUGAUGCUCUUAGAGCAGAAGCGCUCAGGUCCAGCCCAGGUUCUGCCCCACCUUCCAGCUGGUGAGCAGAUGCCAGUCAUGGAGCCCACCAAGCUGUAUUUUUCUCGGCUGUAAGACCAGGACGAUGACAUGCGUCUCCCAUCUCCCCUCCCUGCACCAGGCUAUCUGAAGCCCUUCUUCUAGGCCAGGGAUCGAGCCCAGGCUUCAUGUUAGGAUCAAGGAGGAGUCUAAAGUACUGAUGCCCAGGCCCACCCCAGAUCAAAGACCAGCAUCGUGGGGCUGGGACCGAGCGAUUCCCAGUGCGGUCAAGUUUAAGAACCACUGCUUUGGUUUGUUUAUCAGGCACGGUGUUGGGAGCGGAGGGAAACAAAGAUGUAAACCCUACCCCAUCCCACGCCCCUCACACUGGCUCAUCAUUUCCUGAUUCAGGGCCUGCGUGUGUCCUGGACCUUCCAAUCCCCUCCCACUGCCAUUCUUGUGUUGCUAACCUCCACUCAUCCUUCAGGGUCGGCUUGAAGCUCACCUCCUCAGGGAAGCCCUCUUUCCCAGCAUUCCUAGAGGACUGUUCUCAGCCCCCUCAGCCCACCCUAUUACACCACGGAUCACACAGUAUUUUUCCUGGCAGAUCCUGGUGGGCUGAGAGCUUCUUGGGGCCAGUAUCAGAACCACCAGGGUCUUGCACUGGGUCGUGUACAUUUUAGGCGCUGAAUAAACUAUAGCGGUUACCAGUUAGGUAGCGUCAUAUGAUACACAGCUCCCACCUCAGGGCGUUUGGCACUUUUUGUUCUCUGUGUCUAGAACAUUCUUUCCCCCCCCCCAUAUCUGCAAGGCCCUCUCAGCUCCUUCAGGUCUUUGCUAAACUGUCACCUACUCCAUCAGACUUUCCUUGAUCCUUUUAUUUUAAAUGGCAACCACAGACCGCCAAUGCUUUCCCUUGUCUAAUUAAUUUUUCUUCACAGUAUUUAACACCAUCUGACUAAUGGGUCCUGUCUUUACAUAAAAUUUUGACCAUUUGUGCAUCAUGGAGUUUUUGCAUUAUUUUUAAAAACUUAAUUGCAUUAAAAUACCACUUAUCUUGACCCCUGAGAUCUUUGGCCUCCCUUUAACUUUCACUGUAUUGAUUUAUUGACUAGAAUGUAAGCUACACUGAAUGCAGGGAACCCUGUCUGUUUUGUUCACCAUUCCCCGUUUCUUCAAGGGGCUGGGACACGGCAGCUGUUCAAAAAAUAUUUUGUGAAUAAAAGUUUGUCUUAGUGUCUUAAAGAUGAAAUAAAGGUGCUUCAUUUC
Molecule: long non-coding RNA, 7342 nt
Filed under: Sus scrofa (pig)
Lineage: Eukaryota; Metazoa; Chordata; Mammalia; Artiodactyla; Suidae
Description: lncRNA (ENSSSCG00000058945.1)
Source: RNAcentral